This 2194-nucleotide ribosomal RNA is filed under the name Vibrio cholerae. Its description in RNAcentral is "partial 23S ribosomal RNA". It matches the Rfam family "Bacterial large subunit ribosomal RNA", at positions 1 to 2230 of the family's 2925-position model. The record is from RNAcentral. Lineage: Bacteria; Pseudomonadati; Pseudomonadota; Gammaproteobacteria; Vibrionales; Vibrionaceae.
GUUGUAUGGUUAAGUGACUAAGCGUACACGGUGGAUGCCUGGGCAGUCAGAGGCGAUGAAGGACGUACUAACUUGCGAUAAGCGCAGAUAAGGCAGUAAGAGCCGUUUGAGUCUGCGAUUUCCGAAUGGGGAAACCCAACUGCAUAAGCAGUUACUGUUAACUGAAUACAUAGGUUAACAGAGCAAACCGGGGGAACUGAAACAUCUAAGUACCCCGAGGAGAAGAAAUCAACCGAGAUUCCGGUAGUAGCGGCGAGCGAACCUGGAUUAGCCCUUAAGCACUCGGUGAAGUAGGUGAACAAGCUGGAAAGCUUGGCGAUACAGGGUGAUAGCCCCGUAACCGACGCUUCAUCGAGCGUGAAAUCGAGUAGGGCGGGACACGUGAUAUCCUGUCUGAAUAUGGGGGGACCAUCCUCCAAGGCUAAAUACUCCUGACUGACCGAUAGUGAACCAGUACCGUGAGGGAAAGGCGAAAAGAACCCCUGUGAGGGGAGUGAAAUAGAACCUGAAACCGUGUACGUACAAGCAGUAGGAGCACCUUCGUGGUGUGACUGCGUACCUUUUGUAUAAUGGGUCAGCGACUUAUAUUCAGUGGCAAGGUUAACCGUAUAGGGGAGCCGUAGCGAAAGCGAGUCUUAACUGGGCGCUCAGUCUCUGGAUAUAGACCCGAAACCGGGUGAUCUAGCCAUGGGCAGGUUGAAGGUUGAGUAACAUCAACUGGAGGACCGAACCGACUAAUGUUGAAAAAUUAGCGGAUGACUUGUGGCUAGGGGUGAAAGGCCAAUCAAACUCGGAGAUAGCUGGUUCUCCCCGAAAGCUAUUUAGGUAGCGCCUCGGACGAAUACUACUGGGGGUAGAGCACUGUUAAGGCUAGGGGGUCAUCCCGACUUACCAACCCUUUGCAAACUCCGAAUACCAGUAAGUACUAUCCGGGAGACACACGGCGGGUGCUAACGUCCGUCGUGGAGAGGGAAACAACCCAGACCGCCAGCUAAGGUCCCAAAGUAUUGCUAAGUGGGAAACGAUGUGGGAAGGCUCAGACAGCUAGGAUGUUGGCUUAGAAGCAGCCAUCAUUUAAAGAAAGCGUAAUAGCUCACUAGUCGAGUCGGCCUGCGCGGAAGAUGUAACGGGGCUAAGCAAUACACCGAAGCUGCGGCAAUGUCUUUUAGACAUUGGGUAGGGGAGCGUUCUGUAAGCCGUUGAAGGUGGAUCGUAAGGUUUGCUGGAGGUAUCAGAAGUGCGAAUGCUGACAUGAGUAACGACAAAGGGGGUGAAAAACCUCCUCGCCGGAAGACCAAGGGUUCCUGUCCAACGUUAAUCGGGGCAGGGUGAGUCGACCCCUAAGGUGAGGCCGAAAGGCGUAAUCGAUGGGAAACGGGUUAAUAUUCCCGUACUUCUGACUAUUGCGAUGGGGGGACGGAGAAGGCUAGGUGGGCCAGGCGACGGUUGUCCUGGUUCAAGUGCGUAGGCUUGAGAGUUAGGUAAAUCCGGCUCUCUCUAAGGCUGAGACACGACGUCGAGCUGCUACGGCAGUGAAGUCAUUGAUGCCAUGCUUCCAGGAAAAGCCUCUAAGCUUCAGAUAGUCAGGAAUCGUACCCCAAACCGACACAGGUGGUCGGGUAGAGAAUACCAAGGCGCUUGAGAGAACUCGGGUGAAGGAACUAGGCAAAAUGGUACCGUAACUUCGGGAGAAGGUACGCUCUUGAUGGUGAAGUCCCUUGCGGAUGGAGCUGACGAGAGUCGCAGAUACCAGGUGGCUGCAACUGUUUAUUAAAAACACAGCACUGUGCAAAAUCGCAAGAUGACGUAUACGGUGUGACGCCUGCCCGGUGCCGGAAGGUUAAUUGAUGGGGUUAGCGCAAGCGAAGCUCUUGAUCGAAGCCCCGGUAAACGGCGGCCGUAACUAUAACGGUCCUAAGGUAGCGAAAUUCCUUGUCGGGUAAGUUCCGACCUGCACGAAUGGCGUAAUGAUGGCCACGCUGUCUCCACCCGAGACUCAGUGAAAUUGAAAUCGCUGUGAAGAUGCAGUGUACCCGCGGCUAGACGGAAAGACCCCGUGAACCUUUACUACAGCUUGGCACUGAACAUUGAACCUACAUGUGUAGGAUAGGUGGGAGGCUAUGAAGACGUGACGCCAGUUGCGUUGGAGCCGUCCUUGAAAUACCACCCUUGUAUGUUUGAUGUUCUAACUUAG